UUUAUGGAGAGUUUGAUCCUGGCUCAGGAUGAACGCUGGCGGCGUGCCUAAUACAUGCAAGUCGAGCGAACGGACGAGAAGCUUGCUUCUCUGAUGUUAGCGGCGGACGGGUGAGUAACACGUGGAUAACCUACCUAUAAGACUGGGAUAACUUCGGGAAACCGGAGCUAAUACCGGAUAAUAUUUUGAACCGCAUGGUUCAAAAGUGAAAGACGGUCUUGCUGUCACUUAUAGAUGGAUCCGCGCUGCAUUAGCUAGUUGGUAAGGUAACGGCUUACCAAGGCAACGAUGCAUAGCCGACCUGAGAGGGUGAUCGGCCACACUGGAACUGAGACACGGUCCAGACUCCUACGGGAGGCAG
RNAcentral lists this ribosomal RNA (361 nucleotides) under Staphylococcus aureus. Its description in RNAcentral is "bacterial SSU rRNA". It matches the Rfam family "Bacterial small subunit ribosomal RNA", at positions 1 to 351 of the family's 1533-position model. The record is from RNAcentral. Lineage: Bacteria; Bacillati; Bacillota; Bacilli; Caryophanales; Staphylococcaceae.